GAUGAACGCUGGCGGCGUGCCUAAUACAUGCAAGUCGAGCGAACAGACGAGGAGCUUGCUCCUCUGACGUUAGCGGCGGACGGGUGAGUAACACGUGGAUAACCUACCUAUAAGGCUGGGAUAACUUCGGAAAACCGGAGCUAAUACCGGAUAAUAUAUUGAACCGCGGGGUUCAAUGGUGAAAGACGGUGUUGCUGUCACUUAUAGAUGGAUCCCGGCCGGAUGGGCUGGUUGGGAAGGUAAAGGGUUACCAAGGGGACGAGGCGUGAGCGACCGGAGAGGGUGGUCGGCGACCCGGGAGCUGGGACACGGUCCAGACUACUACGGGACGCAGCAGUAGGGAACCUGACGCAGUGGGCGAGAGCCUGACGGAGCAAGGCGGCGUGAGUGAUGAAGGUCUUCGGAGCGUAAAACUCUGUUAUGAGGGAAGAACAAAUGUGUAAGUAACUAUGCACGGCUUGACGGUACCUAAUCAGAAAGCCACGGCUAACUACGUG
This 497-nucleotide ribosomal RNA is filed under the name uncultured bacterium. RNAcentral's name for it is "partial 16S ribosomal RNA". It matches the Rfam family "Bacterial small subunit ribosomal RNA", at positions 28 to 507 of the family's 1533-position model. The record is from RNAcentral.